AACCAUUCUCACCUGCGGCUAGACCUGCGGAAGGAUCAUUAUUGAUUUUUAACAGGAUGUGCUGGCUCUUCUGGAGCAUGUGCACUCCUAACAAAAACCAAUAUCCACCUGUGCACUUUUAGUAGGCAGGAAAAAAGACCUUUUUACCCAAGGGCUCUUUUCCUUGUCUAUGCUUUCUAUCACAGACACUUGAUCUAUUUGAAUGCUUAUACAACAAAAUAAUAUUUGUAAAACAACUUU
This 240-nucleotide unclassified non-coding RNA is filed under the name soil metagenome. Its description in RNAcentral is "partial contains 5.8S ribosomal RNA, internal transcribed spacer 2, and large subunit ribosomal RNA". The record is from RNAcentral.